ACCUCUUAUACGGCGGUGACACCACAAGAAGCGGUACACCGUUCGAGGUCAAUCCACCCAGUGCGAGCUGCAGGCCUGUGGGCGUCGGGCUACCCUGCCGCGUGCAGGAGCUGGCCUUCAUUCGCGCAGGGCCUUGGCACGUUGGGGCGCCACGCGCAGGCCCUAGGCGUGCAAGCCUAUCCACGCAGGCCUACUGCGCGGACAACGUGGGAAGAGUAUACAAUGCUUGCCUAUCAGCGCUUGAUGUGACGCGCGUAAACAAGUCCAGCUUGCGCGUGAGAAGAUGUACGCGCAGUCCUAUCCUUCGCGUUGCGUGCGAUGGGAUGUGUGCAUUGUACUCACGUCUUGCGCCUGCCACGUGUGC
RNAcentral lists this long non-coding RNA (364 nucleotides) under Carica papaya (papaya). Its description in RNAcentral is "long non-coding RNA (CPAP_LNC003648)". The record is from RNAcentral. Lineage: Eukaryota; Viridiplantae; Streptophyta; Magnoliopsida; Brassicales; Caricaceae.